AGUUGCGAGGAGCGAUGACGGCGACGGCGACGGGAGAAUCGAAACGGCUAAACGGCGGAGGCGAACUUCUAGAGCUUCGCAUCUAAUCAAGGAGUCGCUGGCGGAGGAGGAUUUCAGAGACGGAGAGUGGUGCAGUAGCUGGUAAUGGACGGAGAGAGAGUGAAGGGUGAGACCAUGAGGGAGGGACUGAGAGGGAGAUUUCAGAAAUUGGGGCUGAGAUGGUAUCGACUCGAAUCCUCGAUACUAUCGAGAGAGAGGGAGGCUGAGGUGAGUGAGGUCGGGUUACUCGACUGCAAGAGACUUAGCAUUUUAGGGUUGUUAACUUGUUAUUAUUAUUUUUUUUAAUAUUUAACAUAUUAUUAUAUCACCCAAUCAAGGACUGACAUGUGGUAACUGAUACAUGAAAUCGGGUUGGUUCGGGCUUUCGGUCCCUGAAAAUGUGAAGCCCGAGACCGAACCGAAAAUUCCUAUAUUAAAACCGAACCGAAUCGGGCUUUUUUCCUCAGUUCGGGUCGGGUCCUCAGUCUUUCGGGUCCGGACGCCCACCCCUAGUUCAGACCCAUGAAGAGGUGUUUUGGUCAAACAAAGAUAAAAGACUCCAUUUGACUCUACCCUGCUCUUCCGGUAUGCUCUCGGUAUGCUCUGUAUUUUCUUUUUAGCGCCUAUCUAUAUACCCUGUUCUGUGCGUAUUGCAUCUUCUCUCUGCUUCUGGUUUUCUCUGCUACAAACUUGCACUUUUGUCUGGUGCACCCCUCUCUCUUUCUCUAAGGAAAUAUUUCCUCUGUUUCACUUUCUUCCCAUGUUCGUAUCUUAAAUGGUGUUGUUUUUGGUGUAGCAGAGAUCACUUUCUGAUGCAUUUUGGUUCUUAUGAGUAGCUUUGUUAAGAUUUGCAGUUGAUCUCAUUUGGCUUUGUCAAGCUAUGAGUGAAAUAGUUUUGGCAUUCAGUCAGUGGGUGAUCAUUGCUCUUAAGAAGGGACCUGUUCAAAUCUCAGUUUCAGUGGGUGGAAGGAAAGGAGGUUGUGUAUAUGGAUGGAAAAUGUGAUGCAAAGUAACGCCAAUCCUCAAUGAGUUAUAUCAAUGAUCCAUCCACCAAAGCAAAGGUAAUACAACAAAAUAUUGUAAUGAAGGAAUAAGUUUAGUUGGAGCUUCAAGGGUUGUACUGCUUGACGUUGUAUGGAACCAUGUGGAGAGGCAAGCUAUAUCCCGAGCAUACUAAUUGGGACAAAUAAAUUGUGUUCAUCUACCAUCUCCUCAUGGCUGGGGCAAGUGAAGAGGACAAAUACAGCCAGAAAGUUGAGAAGCAUUGGUUGUCUGAAUUGGUAUUUUCUUGUUCGGAUACAGAAGCUGAUGCCAAUAAAAUCCUUCAAAGACCUUACCGAACUAGUCAUUAGCAUUUUCACUUAAGCUGACAUUGUGAGGAGUAUUAGAGUUCAGUUUGUCACAUCAGAGUAUUAAACAAAACUUUAAUCGAAAAUAGUUUUAUUAAUGCAAUCUGUUUUGAAUUUGAAUUCAAAUAGGUAUGGUUAUUUAGAGAAAUCCAUCAGACAAAGAUAAGGAAGUUAUGAGACAGUUCCAUAAUGGAGGAAACUACCUUAACUGCUUUUCUGAUAUAAUGGGAUUACAAUGUCUUCAUUGAUCCCUGCUAGAGCACCAGACCUCAAUCAAAUUGUCCCAUUAACAAUCUGAGAUCAAAGGUGAAUCUAGGAGAAGAACAAUGGAAGGAGGCAGUGGAUCUAAUUUUUGUUCAUGCAAAUGUGUAGAUAUUAGGACAGAUAUGCUUCCGCAAUCUUAAUAUACUCUACGAUUACUGCUGCACUCCUACAAUGCAAAUUACGGUAUAUGUGUUUACAUGUACUUAUUCUGAGAUAGUAUAGCUAGUACUCAUUUUGUGUAAAUUCUUACAAUCCCAGCUGCAGUCACAGAGGACAAGAUUUUGGAAAAGAUGGUUCAGUAUGAGAAACUCAAGCAUAUAUUCCAAAAGAUAACACCACUAGAUGAAGCUUCAUAUUUGGACGAAGAAUUUGAAUGAAGAUUCUAAAGCUUCUGGAGCUGUUAUCUCAUAGAAGAGGUAUUUUGAGGAUGGGAAGAAUUAUGCGGUUCAAAGAAGCAAGGCAUUGGGAGGAUCAUCAACUUUCUAUCUUCCAGUUUCUUACUCGUGUUAUUUCUUUGUUCUUUAAGCAGUGUUGAAGAUCACAGCAUCUAGAUAGAUCACACUCUUAGCCGUUUAUAUCAUGCUUGACUCGGCUUAACGGUACUCGUCCCUAUGUUCUAGUGUAUCUAUCAUUUAGGUUUAAUGGAAAUAUUUAGAUCAAAUUCUCGGAAUUAGAAGAUAAAUUUGACAAUAUUUUGGGAACUGUGGAUGUCAUUCCAAUAGCUCAAAUAUGUAUGUUGAUUUUUUUUUUUUUUUUGUCUCACAUUAAUACCAAGGAAACACUUACCGACCCACACAUGAACACACGAACUAUCACGUGUAAGAAUGAGUUUUAUCAAAUCUUGAUUUGACUCGCAUCGGUAUGACACCCGUCCUGUCCUCAAGUUGAUAAUUAAUAAAACUACAAAUACAAUGAUAUUUCGGGACCGACACUUAUUGUAAUUGUAGUCUGGGGUUAAUCUAACCCUAAAACUUUUUUUUUUUUUUUUUUUUUGGUCAAAGAUAUUCAUUGAAAAGAGGGCAAACAGCCCAGCCAUACAACAACAGAAAGCCAAAAGGCUAAACUGAAGAGAAACAGAGCUCUCAUAGUCAAAGCCACAUGAGGCAAGACAAGACGAACAACGAACAGACGCAACAAACAAAACAAGUCUAAAGAAAAGCAAGACAUGAAGGAAAGCAAGAUUGAUACCUAAAACUGAAGUUGAUAAAAUAGAAUUCUGAAAGUCAUAGUUGGUUGAUCUAAAGCUCAAGUUGACUAAGGAGCUUAAUCUAAACACUGUUUAGUCCCUCCCACCCAUA
Rosa rugosa (rugosa rose) is the source of this 2950-nucleotide long non-coding RNA. RefSeq lists it as uncharacterized. Lineage: Eukaryota; Viridiplantae; Streptophyta; Magnoliopsida; Rosales; Rosaceae. The record is from RefSeq and is a predicted model, not a curated record. The transcript has 3 exons.